GAGUUUGAUCAUGGCUCAGGAUGAACGCUGGCGGCGUGCUUAACACAUGCAAGUCGAACGGACCCAUAUUGAAACCUGGUGAUAUAUGGGUUAGUGGCGGACGGGUGAGUAACGCGUGGGCAACCUGCCUUACACAGGGGGAUAACACUUAGAAAUAGGUGCUAAAACCGCAUAAGCGCACAGCUUCGCAUGAAGCGGUGUGAAAAACUCCGGUGGUGUAAGAUGGACCCGCGUCUGAUUAGCUUGUUGGCGGGGUAACGGCCCACCAAGGCGACGAUCAGUAGCCGGCCUGAGAGGGCGGACGGCCACAUUGGGACUGAGACACGGCCCAGACUCCUACGGGAGGCAGCAGUGGGGAAUAUUGCACAAUGGGGGAAACCCUGAUGCAGCGACGCCGCGUGAGUGAAGGAGUAAUUCGUUACGUAAAGCUCUAUCAGCAGGGAAGAAACACUGACCUUACGGUCAGCAGACGGUACCUGAGUAAGAAGCCCCGGCUAACUACGUGCCAGCAGCCGCGGUAAUACGUAGGGGGCAAGCGUUAUCCGGAUUUACUGGGUGUAAAGGGAGCGUAGACGGUGCGCCAAGUCUGGAGUGAAAUGCCGCAGCUUAACUGCGGAACUGCUUUGGAAACUGGCGAACUAGAGUGCGGGAGGGGUAAGCGGAAUUCCUAGUGUAGCGGUGAAAUGCGUAGAUAUUAGGAGGAACACCGGUGGCGAAGGCGGCUUACUGGACCGUAACUGACGUUGAGGCUCGAAAGCGUGGGGAGCAAACAGGAUUAGAUACCCUGGUAGUCCACGCCGUAAACGAUGAUUACUAGGUGUCGGGGACCCAAGGGUCUCCGGUGCCGCCGCAAACGCAUUAAGUAAUCCACCUGGGGAGUACGUUCGCAAGAAUGAAACUCAAAGGAAUUGACGG
Molecule: ribosomal RNA, 915 nt
Filed under: uncultured bacterium
Lineage: Bacteria
Description: bacterial SSU rRNA
Rfam family: Bacterial small subunit ribosomal RNA
Source: RNAcentral